Molecule: ribosomal RNA, 238 nt
Filed under: uncultured bacterium
Lineage: Bacteria
Description: partial 16S ribosomal RNA
Rfam family: Bacterial small subunit ribosomal RNA
Source: RNAcentral
GAGCGGCGGACGGGUGAGCAAUACAUAGGAAUCUACCUUAGAGCGGGGGAUAGCCCGGGGAAACCCGGAUUAAUACCGCAUGAUGUCGAAAGACCAAAGUGGGGGACCGUAAGGCCCCACACUCUGAGAUGAGCCUAUGUCGGAUUAGCUAGUUGGCGGGGUAACGGCCCACCAAGGCAACGAUCCGUAGCUGGUCUGAGAGGACGAUCAGCCACACCGGAACUGAGACACGGUCCGG